CUGUUGGUGAAACCAGAGGAUCUUAAUGACUACAUGCCGCUGGUGUCAUACUUUAUUCGAGGCUGUUUUCUGGUCACUCCCAAGACCUUCUUACUGAAAUAAACUGUCAAAGACCACAAUGCUUCUGCGAGUCAUUGUGUCCGAAAAAGAGAUCAGACGUCUUGCAGUUUAGGACAUCCCUGGAAACAUUGAGGAACUGAACCAGGUACUGCAAACCAGCCUUGGUCUGAGAGGGGGAUUUAUCUUACAGUUUGAGGAUCCAGAUUUCAACAAUCAGUUGUGCAACCUAACAGACAUCAAAGACCUUCCUAAGGAGCGAGCGACUGUAAAAGUAAUAUUCACAGCAGAUGACUCUUCAGAUUCUACUCUGGACACAUGCAGCCUUCCUUCUGUCAGUAGUGGGGAUAUUGUUGAAUGGCCUGAUCCCUUCCCAAUUCCCCAUUUUUCACAUGAUGUGGAACUGCAAUUAAAUGAGGCAAAUAAUAGAUACACUAAAGAUGGAUCUGUGAUGGUUAUUUCCAAAGGUUUAAAAACUGACAUCCUUGACACACUUGCAGACAUCAUGUCAAAAAUCAGUGUGUAUCCUGAGAGGCAGCACUAUGAAAGAGUGGCCAGAGCACUGGUAGAGAAGCAUCCCUGUCUGCGAGAUCCAGGUUCUGAAAAGGGGUGGUACUCAUGGUUUCACAGCCUGAAGUUUAAACUUGGAAACUACCGGCAAAAGUUAAGUGCAGCAGGAUGUUCUGAAGUGGUCAUAAACAAAAGAAAAGGAGAAGGUUUGAAAGGACAAAAUGUCAAGAGGUCAAAGAAGGGGGAGGUGAACUACUGUCCUGAUCCACCAGAAGGACAAAAUCUUGAAAACAUGGAGGAGAAACGGAAAAUAAUGGAGUCUGAAAUGCGGAAAAAAGAUCCUGAUCACCAAUUCGUAGAGGAUCUGAUGGUUUUCCCAACGUAGAAAAGAGAUUGUUGGAGAUCAACCACUCAUCGCAGAGGUCCUUUCCCGAUGGCCAGCUCUGUUCAAUGAGAGACAGAUAAAGGCAGAAUUCAAAAGAAUUGUCAACACUGAUCUUCUGCAGUCUUUUCUUGAUGGGCUUGACAGCUUGGUCCCAAGACUGCUAGAAUUAUACAAAUCAGCAGCGAGGUCUGGAAAGAAGCAGGCCCUUAAACGCAUUUUGGACUGCCUUAUGAGGGAUGACACAACUGAGAGGAGAAGGGCUGCUGCUCUACUUGGUCUGCCACAAUACAUAUCAGGCGAAGAUCCAGGAAAUGUCAUCAGGAUAUGUGAUGUUCACAUUGAGAUUCUGGAAGAAGCCAUGAAGGGGAUGCAACUUGGCCUCCUGAUAGGUUGUGAGAGUGGUGAACCAGGUGCUAUCCCACGCGAGGUCUUUGAUGUGGCAGUUAUUGUUGAUGAGACCAUUGUUCUUCACAAAAUUAAAGAUGUUGUAGUUGCAUUUUCAUUGCUUAUGGGUGUAAUCUAUUGCAUGAAUCUUGAGUAUCCGUAUGCUAUGAAGUAUACAUUUGAGUUUCUUCAGAGAGUAGUUAUGAAGAUCAAACCAGACCAAGCUUCAGCCAGAGUCCAUGGACUAAGGAACAAAAUACUGAGGUACAAACUGUAACAUCUGUCUGCGCUGACAGUCUUAAUUUUGUUUGACUAAUAAGUUAUAGUAAGUUUUCUUUCUUCAGACAGACUUGCUUUAUUUUGUAUGUUGUAUGUUAUUUAAAAGUUCAAUGCACUUUAAAAUGUUGGCAAACUCUGCACAGUUGAAACUGUUUUUGAAUGGUAGGAGACAGUUCUAUUCAGUCAUAUGAUUUUUCAUCACAUUUUCAAAAUGUUCAAAAAACCAAACUGUUCAUGUAUUUGGUACAUUA
Molecule: long non-coding RNA, 1866 nt
Organism: Girardinichthys multiradiatus
Lineage: Eukaryota; Metazoa; Chordata; Actinopteri; Cyprinodontiformes; Goodeidae
Exons: 5
Source: RefSeq, a predicted model, not a curated record